UGACUGGGGCGGUCUCCUCCUAAAGAGUAACGGAGGAGCACGAAGGUUGGCUAAUCCUGGUCGGACAUCAGGAGGUUAGUGCAAUGGCAUAAGCCAGCUUGACUGCGAGCGUGACGGCGCGAGCAGGUGCGAAAGCAGGUCAUAGUGAUCCGGUGGUUCUGAAUGGAAGGGCCAUCGCUCAACGGAUAAAAGGUACUCCGGGGAUAACAGGCUGAUACCGCCCAAGAGUUCAUAUCGACGGCGGUGUUUGGCACCUCGAUGUCGGCUCAUCACAUCCUGGGGCUGAAGUAGGUCCCAAGGGUAUGGCUGUUCGCCAUUUAAAGUGGUACGCGAGCUGGGUUUAGAACGUCGUGAGACAGUUCGGUCCCUAUCUGCCGUGGGCGCUGGAGAACUGAGGGGGGCUGCUCCUAGUACGAGAGGACCGGAGUGGACGCAUCACUGGUGUUCGGGUUGUCAUGCCAAUGGCACUGCCCGGUAGCUAAAUGCGGAAGAGAUAAGUGCUGAAAGCAUCUAAGCACGAAACUUGCCCCGAGAUGAGUUCUCCCUGACUCCUUGAGAGUCCUGAAGGAACGUUGAAGACGACGACGUUGAUAGGCCGGGUGUGUAAGCGCAGCGAUGCGUUGAGCUAACCGGUACUAAUGAACCGUGAGGCUUAACCUU
This 660-nucleotide ribosomal RNA is filed under the name Escherichia coli. RNAcentral's name for it is "partial 23S ribosomal RNA". It matches the Rfam family "Bacterial large subunit ribosomal RNA", at positions 2270 to 2925 of the family's 2925-position model. The record is from RNAcentral. Lineage: Bacteria; Pseudomonadati; Pseudomonadota; Gammaproteobacteria; Enterobacterales; Enterobacteriaceae.